This 998-nucleotide ribosomal RNA is filed under the name uncultured bacterium. RNAcentral's name for it is "bacterial SSU rRNA". It matches the Rfam family "Bacterial small subunit ribosomal RNA", at positions 43 to 1037 of the family's 1533-position model. The record is from RNAcentral.
CAUGCCUAACACAUGCAAGUCGAACGGUAACAGGCCUUCGGGCGCUGUCGAGUGGCGGACGGGUGAGUAAUGCAUAGGAAUUUGCCUUGAAGUGGGGGAUAGCCCGGAGAAAUCCGGAUUAAUACCGCAUAUGUUCUACGGAACAAAGUGGGCCUCUGAUUUAAGCUCAUGCUUUGAGAUAAGCCUAUGUCGGAUUAGCUUGUUGGUGGGGUAAAAGCCUACCAAGGCGACGAUCCGUAGCUGGUUUGAGAGGAUGAUCAGCCACACUGGGACUGAGACACGGCCCAGACUCCUACGGGAGGCAGCAGUGGGGAAUAUUGGACAAUGGGCGCAAGCCUGAUCCAGCAAUGCCGCGUGUGUGAAGAAGGCCUGCGGGUUGUAAAGCACUUUUAUCGGGAAAGAAAUCCUUGGAGCUAAUACCUUCAAGGCUUGACGGUACCCGAGGAAUAAGCACCGGCUAACUCAGUGCCAGCAGCCGCGGUAAUACUGAGGGUGCAAGCGUUAAUCGGAAUUACUGGGCGUAAAGCGAGUGUAGGCGGCUUCGUAAGUCGGAUGUGAAAGCCCUGGGCUUAACCUGGGAAUGCCAUUCGAUACUGCGCGGCUAGAGUUUGAUAGAGGAAAGUGGAAUUCCAGGUGUAGCGGUGAAAUGCGUAGAUAUCUGGAGGAACAUCAGUGGCGAAGGCGGCUUUCUGGAUCAAAACUGACGCUGAGGCUCGAAAGCGUGGGUAGCAAACAGGAUUAGAUACCCUGGUAGUCCACGCCCUAAACGAUGUCAACUAGACGUUGGCCCCAUUUAAGGGGUUAGUGUCGAAGCUAACGCGUUAAGUUGACCGCCUGGGGAGUACGCCGCAAGGUUGAAACUCAAAGGAAUUGACGGGGGCCCGCACAAGCGGUGGAGCAUGUGGUUUAAUUCGAUGCAACGCGAAGAACCUUACCAGCCCUUGACAUCCUGGGAACUUUGUAGAGAUACAUUGGUGCCUUCGGGAAUCCAGUGACGG